GGUUGUGUAGUGUAGUGGUUAUCACUUUGGAUUUUGACCUCGCUUGCCUUCGGGCUAGGAAAUAUUCCAAUAACCCCGGUUCGAACCCGGGCACGACCU
Aspergillus aculeatus ATCC 16872 is the source of this 99-nucleotide transfer RNA. It matches the Rfam family "tRNA". Rfam says of the family: Transfer RNA (tRNA) molecules are approximately 80 nucleotides in length. Their secondary structure includes four short double-helical elements and three loops (D, anti-codon, and T loops). Further hydrogen bonds mediate the characteristic L-shaped molecular structure. tRNAs have two regions of fundamental functional importance: the anti-codon, which is responsible for specific mRNA codon recognition, and the 3' end, to which the tRNAs corresponding amino acid is attached (by aminoacyl-tRNA synthetases). tRNAs cope with the degeneracy of the genetic code in two manners: having more than one tRNA (with a specific anti-codon) for a particular amino acid; and 'wobble' base-pairing, i.e. permitting non-standard base-pairing at the 3rd anti-codon position. The record is from Rfam. Lineage: Eukaryota; Fungi; Ascomycota; Eurotiomycetes; Eurotiales; Aspergillaceae.